This 253-nucleotide ribosomal RNA is filed under the name uncultured bacterium. Its description in RNAcentral is "partial 16S ribosomal RNA". It matches the Rfam family "Bacterial small subunit ribosomal RNA", at positions 524 to 776 of the family's 1533-position model. The record is from RNAcentral.
UACAGAGGUCUCAAGCGUUGUUCGGAUUCAUUGGGCGUAAAGGGCGCGUAGGCGGCGCGAGAAGUCGAGUGUGAAAGCCCCGGGCUCAACCUGGGAAUGGCGCUCGAUACUCUUGUGCUUGAGUUCGGGAGAGGAGCGUGGAAUUCCCAGUGUAGAGGUGAAAUUCGUAGAUAUUGGGAAGAACACCGGUGGCGAAGGCGGCGCUCUGGACCGAGACUGACGCUGAGGCGCGAAAGCGUGGGGAGCAAACAGG